RNAcentral lists this ribosomal RNA (523 nucleotides) under uncultured Pelagibacterales bacterium. RNAcentral describes it as "bacterial SSU rRNA". It matches the Rfam family "Bacterial small subunit ribosomal RNA", at positions 96 to 653 of the family's 1533-position model. The record is from RNAcentral. Lineage: Bacteria; Pseudomonadati; Pseudomonadota; Alphaproteobacteria; Candidatus Pelagibacterales.
UGGCAGACGGGUGAGUAACAUGUGGGUAUCUACCCUUUGGCCUGGAAUAACACGAGGAAACUUGUGCUAAUACCGGAUAAGUCUUUACGGAGAAAGCUUUAUGCACCAUUGGAUGAGCCCGCACUUGAUUAGUUUGUUGGUAGGGUAAUGGCCUACCAAGACUAUGAUCAAUAGCUGAUUUGAGAGGAUGAUCAGCCACAUUGGGACUGAGACACGGCCCAAACUCCUACGGGAGGCAGCAGUGGGGAAUCUUGCACAAUGGAGGAAACUCUGAUGCAGCGAUGCCGCGUGAGUGAAGAAGGCCUUUGGGUUGUAAAGCUCUUUCGUCGGGGAAGAAAAUGACUGUACCCGAAUAAGAAGGUCCGGCUAACUUCGUGCCAGCAGCCGCGGUAAUACGAAGGGACCUAGCGUAGUUCGGAAUUACUGGGCUUAAAGAGUUCGUAGGUGGUUGAAAAAGUUGGUGGUGAAAUCCCAGAGCUUAACUCUGGAACUGCCAUCAAAACUUUUCAGCUAGAGUAUGAUA